RNAcentral lists this long non-coding RNA (215 nucleotides) under Malus domestica (apple). RNAcentral's name for it is "long non-coding RNA (MDOM_LNC001761)". Lineage: Eukaryota; Viridiplantae; Streptophyta; Magnoliopsida; Rosales; Rosaceae. The record is from RNAcentral.
GCCUUCCUUGGCGCGUGGGGGCGCGUGCUAGAGUAAAAUUUUAUUUUAAAAUAUGUCGACGUCCGUGACGUCGAGUAGAUCACCGUGGUAUAUUCAUAUACCCAAUUUGAGCACCGUAUGAGAAAGUUAUUAAGGAUUGUUGGUUAGGUGUUCAAAUAACGUUUUAUAGUUUUUGCAUUUAGGUGAAAAAAAUGAAUUGACGAUCCGACCGUUGG